AUUGAACGCUGGCGGCAGGCCUAACACAUGCAAGUCGAACGGUAACAGGAAGCAGCUUGCUGCUUCGCUGACGAGUGGCGGACGGGUGAGUAAUGUCUGGGAAGCUGCCUGAUGGAGGGGGAUAACUACUGGAAACGGUAGCUAAUACCGCAUAAUGUCGCAAGACCAAAGAGGGGGACCUUCGGGCCUCUUGCCAUCGGAUGUGCCCAGAUGGGAUUAGCUUGUUGGUGGGGUAACGGCUCACCAAGGCGACGAUCCCUAGCUGGUCUGAGAGGAUGACCAGCCACACUGGAACUGAGACACGGUCCAGACUCCUACGGGAGGCAGCAGUGGGGAAUAUUGCACAAGGGGCGCAAGCCUGAUGCAGCCAUGCCGCGUGUAUGAAGAAGGCCGUCGGGUUGUAAAGUACUUUCAGCGGGGAGGAAGGGAGUAAAGUUAAUACCUUUGCUCAGUGACGUUACCCGCAGAAGAAGCACCGGCUAACUCCG
Molecule: ribosomal RNA, 488 nt
Filed under: uncultured bacterium
Lineage: Bacteria
Description: partial 16S ribosomal RNA
Rfam family: Bacterial small subunit ribosomal RNA
Source: RNAcentral